This is a non-coding RNA of Misgurnus anguillicaudatus (oriental weatherfish), 461 nucleotides long. The record is from RefSeq and is a predicted model, not a curated record. NCBI's taxonomy places the organism in Eukaryota, Metazoa, Chordata, Actinopteri, Cypriniformes, Cobitidae.
CACAGAUAGUAGCCUAGCUACUACACUUGACCGUCUGUGGAGUUUUCUGAGGAGGAUGUGGAGGAUCCUGUACCGCCUUGCGCCCGAUUACUCUGAAAUAAAACUUUCAGAGGAAGAAUCAUCACCGCUGUACCCUGACCAGAGCUCUGUCCGUCCAUGGUUUGAUGAUUAUGGAGAAGAUAAUGGCUACAUCCAUUUAACUGAGAGACAUUAAUUCUGACAAUGACCAUUAUUGAUAAAAUGAUGACCAACCAAGCUGCAGAAUUGUUUGAUUUAAAAUCCUUUUUAAAGCACAUCAGCAAGCAAGUCUACAGUAUGGGAAAAGAUACGAAAGACGAUUUAAAGUGACAGCUGACAUUCAUCAUUCAGGAAGAAGUCAGUUACUGUAUACAUUGUUUUAUACAUUCAGUUUUGGUAAACAUAAUGUGACAUCCAGGUACUGUAUACUGAAAAUGAUGCAC